CAACUUCUGAAUGUUGACCUCGGAUCAGGUA
This 31-nucleotide ribosomal RNA is filed under the name Fusarium oxysporum. RNAcentral's name for it is "partial 28S ribosomal RNA". Lineage: Eukaryota; Fungi; Ascomycota; Sordariomycetes; Hypocreales; Nectriaceae. The record is from RNAcentral.